UUGGAAUUUUACCUUCUAGGAAUGCCAGCCAAUGCCCUCUAGCCUCAUGUCCAUAACCAUAUCCAGACAGGACCUAAUGGAGUGCAACCAUAUCAGGAGGCUAGAGGGUUGCUGAGGAUGGGCUAUAUCACAGGACUGGGACAGACCACAGGAAAGACUGUUUCCAAACAGGGAAGGUCGAUGAAAGACCCCCAUGGGCCACAGAAUGGAUUAUGUCUCCUCCGCACUCAGCGCACUGAUAACCACAUCAGCUUCAAGGACCCCCUCAGGGCCAUUACAGGAGGAUAUGCGGCUUCCCCCUGAGAGAUAGAAUGUCUCCAGCGAGCAUGACCACAAAUUAAGUGAAGGCAUCUGUGAAAUCUCCCCAACUUAACUCCUCACUCCAGAAAGCACCAGCAUUCCACAGCUGGCCCAUCUCCACACAUCCACUGACCCAUCUGUCCCACACGGCUAACUGGGCUCCUGUGUAUUCAUCACGGCAGAGGAACACGGUGGGGGAAGGUGGGGUGAGGAAGGUCCACAACAUCUGGGAACCAUCAAGCCAAAAGAGCCUUAGAUCCUGAGAUUCCAGUCUCCGACCUCUCUACUCUCUUCACCUCCCCCAUUGCCUCUACUCAACCCCUCCACCGCCACCUUUCUUCCCCAUCUGUCUCCCUUCCCCUAUUCUACAUUUCUCCCCCAACCAAGUCCUCUCUCCUCCCUUCGCCCUGGCUGCCCAUCAUUUCCAUGUGUCUUCGGCAAUGGGCCUAAUCCAAACAGAUUAUAACUGUUUCAAAAACAUACUCCCCUUCUUGCCCCCUCCACUCCUCAUCUCAGUCCUGUGUUCAUUGCAGGGAACAGAUAAUCUCUUUCAUGGAGGAGGAGCUACCGGUGUCAGCCAGGUCUGGGUUAACAGGUUAGUGCCGCACAGAACCAUUUCAGGAAUAAUGAGUAGGUCAGGCCCCAAAGUAAUCUGGCAGAUGCCUGUUCAAGACUCAGACGUGACACAAAACACACCAUCCAACCUUUUCCUCUUGCUACACUCCCAUGAGGUCCGCAUUGGAAUGGCCGCAGCUGGUCGCAUACUGUGCAGUGCGAAGCCCAUUGUCCCAGCCACGAUCUGGCGACUGCUGUUAGGCAGAGCGUAUGGGGGAAGCAGUCCAGUAGGGGGCUUGAGAGCUGGAGGGUAUCCCAAGAGACCACCAGGGCGCCUCAGAACGCCCCCCACGCCCCAAGCCUAUCACUACCUGCUGAACUCCUGCCUUCUGUGCUUUGUUUAGAUGGAAGCGCUGUCCUUAUUUACGAUAACAGAAAUAAAAGGAUUAGCAUAGUACUGGUGUUUCUCACAUAGUU
Hippocampus zosterae (dwarf seahorse) is the source of this 1332-nucleotide long non-coding RNA. RefSeq lists it as uncharacterized. NCBI's taxonomy places the organism in Eukaryota, Metazoa, Chordata, Actinopteri, Syngnathiformes, Syngnathidae. The transcript has 3 exons. The record is from RefSeq and is a predicted model, not a curated record.